GGCGGGGUGUAUGUGGUGCGGCACUGCGCGUGCGCGCGAGGCCUCUUGCGUCAUUUAGCCGCGCCUAGGUUUGCCGGCGCCGGCCCUAGGUCCCGGCAGCGGUGGUGACGGCGGUGCCGGAGGUUGUCCUUGGCAGGUUUUCCUCGGCGCUUUUCCAUGGAGGAGGCGGUGCGAACGGCUUCAGCCCCGAAUGCUCGCAUCUCCCACUGGACGGCGACGAAGGCGGUGGCCGUGCGAGCGCAGGACUGGGCGGCCUGUGUGGGGGUGUGAGCCGCGGUGCCCCAGGCUGCGCCGGCGAGGGGAAGCCGCGCGGCCGGCCGGCCGACUAGGGUGAGGUCGCCACUCCUUCCUUUCAGGCUGGAGCUACUCGGCCAGGGUUUAAGACUUUAAAUGAGAAUAAAGGGUGGUAUUUACGAGGAAAUGAGAGUGAAUAAGUCAUCUCUAACCUCUCCCAGCCUUUUUUUCAUAAGAGAGACCAUAUUAAACUUACAUGCUCUCCCGGCUGUGAUAGACCUUCAGUUACAGAGAGAGGGAGCAGAGUGGGACCAGGUCUGAGAAUAGUGAAGCAACUCAUUCCUUUCAGGACAUUCCCUCUGAUGUCCUAUUUUCAAACUGUUUGAAGACUGCUUCAUUCUGCCUCUAGUACCAGCGGUUUCUCUGUUCUGUGAUCAAUGUGAUUCACAGGAACUCCUUAAGUAACAAACGAAAUGAGCCAGGGGCGUGGAAAAUAUGACUUCUAUAUUGGUCUGGGAUUGGCUAUGAGCUCCAGCAUUUUCAUUGGAGGAAGUUUCAUUUUGAAAAAAAAAGGCCUCCUUCGACUUGCCAGGAAAGGCUCUAUGAGAGCAGGUCAAGGUGGCCAUGCAUAUCUUAAGGAAUGGUUGUGGUGGGCUGGACUGCUGUCAAGUAUGUAUAAAGAACAUUGCAAGAAAAAUAUGAUAGCUGUAUAUUAAAAUAUUUGCAUAUGGUAUUAUAG
RNAcentral lists this long non-coding RNA (973 nucleotides) under Pan troglodytes (chimpanzee). Its description in RNAcentral is "long non-coding RNA NONPTRT005542". The record is from RNAcentral. Lineage: Eukaryota; Metazoa; Chordata; Mammalia; Primates; Hominidae.